GCCAAUGGCACUGCCCGGUAGCUAAAUGCGGAAGAGAUAAGUGCUGAAAGCAUCUAAGCACGAAACUUGCCCCGAGAUGAGUUCUCCCUGAGACUUUAGGUCUCCUGAAGGAACGUUGAAGACGACGACGUUGAUAGGCCGGGUGUGUAAGCGCAGCGAUGCGUUGAGCUAACCGGUACUAAUGAACCGUGAGGCUUAACCUUACAACGCCGAAG
Molecule: ribosomal RNA, 215 nt
Filed under: Salmonella enterica subsp. enterica serovar Montevideo
Lineage: Bacteria; Pseudomonadati; Pseudomonadota; Gammaproteobacteria; Enterobacterales; Enterobacteriaceae
Description: partial 23S ribosomal RNA
Rfam family: Bacterial large subunit ribosomal RNA
Source: RNAcentral